AGAGUUUGAUCCUGGCUCAGAGCGAACGCUGGCGGCAGGCCUAACACAUGCAAGUCGAGCGCCCCGGCAAGGGGAGCGGCAGACGGGAGAGUAAGCACGUGGGAACGUACCCUUCAGAUUCGGAACAACCCAGGGGAAACUUGGGCUAAUACCGAAUACGUCCGUAAGGAGAAAGAUUUAUCGGCCUGAAGGAUCGGCCCGCGUCUGAUUAGCUAGUUGGUAGGGUAACGGCCUACCAAGGGCGGACGAUCCGUAGCCUGGUCUGGAGAGGACGACCCGCCCCACUGGGACUGAGACACGGCCCAGACUCCUACGGGAGGCAGCAGUGGGGAAUAUUGGACAAUGGGGGAAACCCUGAUCCAGCGACGCCGCGUGUGUGAAAGAAGGCCUGCGGGUUGUAAAGCACUUUUAGUGGGGAUGAAAAGCCUAGGGAUAACA
Molecule: ribosomal RNA, 438 nt
Filed under: uncultured bacterium
Lineage: Bacteria
Description: bacterial SSU rRNA
Rfam family: Bacterial small subunit ribosomal RNA
Source: RNAcentral